This is a long non-coding RNA of Corapipo altera (White-ruffed manakin), 664 nucleotides long. RefSeq lists it as uncharacterized. Lineage: Eukaryota; Metazoa; Chordata; Aves; Passeriformes; Pipridae. The record is from RefSeq and is a predicted model, not a curated record. The transcript has 4 exons.
CCCGCGGUGCCCUCCCGUAGCCCGGCGGGCCAGUGCCCGGCCCCGCUCCUGCCGCGCCUCUAUUCCGCCCUCGGCCGCCCUUCGUCCUCCUCCCGCUUCUCCCUCAGCAUCGCCGGACGGGGGCUCGGCGGGGACUCUGGGGAGACGCUCCUUCUCCUGCGCUUCCCCGGGCGGCUCUGGCGGGAGGAAUAUUUCGAGCCAUGCCGAAGUAAGAAGUUGUAGAUAACGCAGCGGUUUUCCGCAGCUCCCGUCGGUGCCCGUCAGUAAGUGUUGCCUUCCGCACAUCACCCGCACCGCCCUGCGAGCCCGUGCGAGCCCGGACCGCAUCUCCCCGUUGUUCUGCCGAGCUGCUUCCCCAGAGAUCACAGCUCCUUUUUGAAAAGACCUACAAGAUGCCUUGUUGACAGAAUAAAUAGUUUUGGCAUAACCAGGUGUGGAUUUCAAUCAGCACUGCCAGGUGCAAGCAAACUUCUCAGCAAGCAUGCUUCACCCUACAUGAAGACUAAAUCAGUGCUGUGUGAAUCUGUUAUCUUCUAUAUCACUUCUCAAAACUGGAUCUGGGCUGACAGCAGUAACUCUCAGACAGCUUGCAAUCACAAUGUCCUGCCGCUAUUACAAAGAGGAGUGAAACUAUUCCACUACUUCACAGAAAUCUCUGCAGUGU